Molecule: ribosomal RNA, 636 nt
Filed under: Rhodococcus sp. So1Pw_1131
Lineage: Bacteria; Bacillati; Actinomycetota; Actinomycetes; Mycobacteriales; Nocardiaceae
Description: bacterial SSU rRNA
Rfam family: Bacterial small subunit ribosomal RNA
Source: RNAcentral
GCCUGAUGCAGCGACGCCGCGUGAGGGAUGACGGCCUUCGGGUUGUAAACCUCUUUCAGCAGGGACGAAGCGAAAGUGACGGUACCUGCAGAAGAAGCACCGGCCAACUACGUGCCAGCAGCCGCGGUAAUACGUAGGGUGCGAGCGUUGUCCGGAAUUACUGGGCGUAAAGAGCUCGUAGGCGGUUUGUCGCGUCGUCUGUGAAAACCAGCAGCUCAACUGCUGGCUUGCAGGCGAUACGGGCAGACUUGAGUACUGCAGGGGAGACUGGAAUUCCUGGUGUAGCGGUGAAAUGCGCAGAUAUCAGGAGGAACACCGGUGGCGAAGGCGGGUCUCUGGGCAGUAACUGACGCUGAGGAGCGAAAGCGUGGGUAGCGAACAGGAUUAGAUACCCUGGUAGUCCACGCCGUAAACGGUGGGCGCUAGGUGUGGGUUUCCUUCCACGGGAUCCGUGCCGUAGCUAACGCAUUAAGCGCCCCGCCGGGGGAGUACGGCCGCAAGGCUAAAACUCAAAGGAAUUGACGGGGGCCCGCACAAGCGGCGGAGCAUGUGGAUUAAUUCGAUGCAACGCGAAAAACCUUACCUGGGUUUGACAUAUACCGGAAAGCCGUAAAGAUACGGCCCCCCUUGUGGUCG